RNAcentral lists this ribosomal RNA (765 nucleotides) under unidentified microorganism. RNAcentral's name for it is "bacterial SSU rRNA". It matches the Rfam family "Bacterial small subunit ribosomal RNA", at positions 51 to 828 of the family's 1533-position model. The record is from RNAcentral.
ACACAUGCAGUCGAACGAUGAUGCCCAGCUUGCUGGGCGGAUUAGUGGCGAACGGGUGAGUAAUACGUGAGUAACCUGCCCUUGACUCUGGGAUAAGCCUGGGAAACUGGGUCUAAUACUGGAUACUACCUCUUACCGCAUGGUGGGUGGUGGAAAGGGUUUUACUGGUUUUGGAUGGGCUCACGGCCUAUCAGCUUGUUGGUGGGGUAAUGGCUCACCAAGGCGACGACGGGUAGCCGGCCUGAGAGGGUGACCGGCCACACUGGGACUGAGACACGGCCCAGACUCCUACGGGAGGCAGCAGUGGGGAAUAUUGCACAAUGGGCGGAAGCCUGAUGCAGCGACGCCGCGUGAGGGAUGACGGCCUUCGGGUUGUAAACCUCUUUCAGUAGGGAAGAAGCGAGAGUGACGGUACCUGCAGAAGAAGCGCCGGCUAACUACGUGCCAGCAGCCGCGGUAAUACGUAGGGCGCAAGCGUUGUCCGGAAUUAUUGGGCGUAAAGAGCUCGUAGGCGGUUUGUCGCGUCUGCUGUGAAAGCCCGGGGCUCAACCCCGGGUCUGCAGUGGGUACGGGCAGACUAGAGUGCAGUAGGGGAGACUGGAAUUCCUGGUGUAGCGGUGAAAUGCGCAGAUAUCAGGAGGAACACCGAUGGCGAAGGCAGGUCUCUGGGCUGUUACUGACGCUGAGGAGCGAAAGCAUGGGGAGCGAACAGGAUUAGAUACCCUGGUAGUCCAUGCCGUAAACGUUGGGCACUAGGUGUGGGGG